UAACAUUCAACAAAUAUAACAUCUUGUCCCUAACACAACAUUAAUUCAUGAUCUAAUAUCUAAAAUUGAAAGAGAAUUCAUAAAGAGCUGAACAAGAGGAGUUGGAGUCGGAACUUGAGGAGUAUUGCUAUCUUUCCCUUCUAGCACCAUCAUUGAAUCCUUAUUCUGACAAUUUAGUAUAGACUGAAAUAGAAAAUAAUUCUACAUUAAGAAGAUUUAUUAGUAAAAACGCCAUUGAUAUUUGAUAAAAUAUUAACAAAAAAAUGAUAUUCAUCCAAAACAGCAUCUUAUGGAUCAUGAAUGAGUGAUGAGUUCAUGAAAAGACCAUAAAUGACAUGCUAAUGAGAACAUGUAAAUAAUAAAAAAUCGAUCUAAAAUAUUAUUAUGAUUUAUGAGAGUUUCUGGGUCAGAAUUAAUCUGCCCCAUUCAGAUCUCAGGUGAAUCCAGUUUCUGGCAGAGGCCAAUGCUGUCUGGAUUCAAGAUAGUUCCAUAUCAACGUCGAUUCCAAGCAGUUUGAUAAUUUAAAGGGGUUUAGAUGUAAUGUAGACACUUGUUUUUAUGUUUUUGUUUCUAAGUUAUUACGUAGAUAAUUGUCGGUGAAAACUGACAAUAUGUAGAAUUACUAUCUGGAAUGCACCAACGUGUAGAGGUGUUGGUCAAGACCCCUUGAACACCCCCAACACUCUAGCAAUCAUCUUAUGGUUUAUGAAUGCACAAAGUUACUAUCUGGAAUGCUAAGGCUUCAAAAUAAAAUAAAAGACAAUCAAUAGCAAAUCUAAAACCAAGAAACAUCCUGGAAUCCUAAGUAUAAAAAGAAUAAAACCUGUAUACAGUUUGCUGGCACUCAGAAGAUUGUGCUCAAUCAUAGCACUAUCAAGCACUGUAAAAUUAUCUGGCAAUAGAGCUUUCUAACAAAAAUGAUAAAAGUAAUAGAUGAGAAUCAUAAAAGUUGAUAAAAAAAUGAAAUUUAAAUAAUUUUCAGUUUCCUGUACCUGGUGUGCUUUCAAUUCUUCAGAAAAUGCAUUGAUUUCUGGUUUUCUCAAUAUUCUCUCCAGAUAAACCUAACCAUUUAUGUUUAAUAGUAUAAUAUAUUAUUUAUUUAAAUAAAUACAUAAAUAAGUGAAAUUGAACAAGUCGUUUGCUGCACAAUAUUUUAGACUAAACCUUUUGCAAUAUUGGGUAGAUCUUUAAUUUUGAGCACCUUUCAUCCUGAGAAAAAACAUAUGAUUUGACUAGAACAUGUAAAUAUGAAAGCCCCAAUGAAUCAAAGACAUACUGCAUUCUUUGCCAAGAAUGUUAGAUCCUUUUGAACACGCUGAGGUGGACAUGAAGAAAUCAAGUAACAGAAAUCCGUCGAACCAAUCCCACCUCCAUGGAAAUCAAAUAUGAUACCUUGAAAUUAGAGUAUCUCAUUCUGGAUAUGUAACUUUUUAUUCAUUUUUCAGGCAGACAAAAUGUAAUAUUAAUUAUUAGCAUACCUGAUGAUUAUUUAUUGCCUCUAGAAGUUGUUCACGG
RNAcentral lists this long non-coding RNA (1515 nucleotides) under Zostera marina. Its description in RNAcentral is "long non-coding RNA (ZMAR_LNC005102)". Lineage: Eukaryota; Viridiplantae; Streptophyta; Magnoliopsida; Alismatales; Zosteraceae. The record is from RNAcentral.